UUAUGAUAUGAUUCGUAAUGGGAGCGGUGAUUCAGGCAACCUACUUGUUAAU
RNAcentral lists this small RNA (52 nucleotides) under Arabidopsis thaliana (thale cress). RNAcentral's name for it is "ATSL246250". Lineage: Eukaryota; Viridiplantae; Streptophyta; Magnoliopsida; Brassicales; Brassicaceae. The record is from RNAcentral.